Molecule: ribosomal RNA, 2931 nt
Filed under: Escherichia coli
Lineage: Bacteria; Pseudomonadati; Pseudomonadota; Gammaproteobacteria; Enterobacterales; Enterobacteriaceae
Description: 23S ribosomal RNA
Rfam family: Bacterial large subunit ribosomal RNA
Source: RNAcentral
GGGUUGUGAGGUUAAGCGACUAAGCGUACACGGUGGAUGCCCUGGCAGUCAGAGGCGAUGAAGGACGUGCUAAUCUGCGAUAAGCGUCGGUAAGGUGAUAUGAACCGUUAUAACCGGCGAUUUCCGAAUGGGGAAACCCAGUGUGUUUCGACACACUAUCAUUAACUGAAUCCAUAGGUUAAUGAGGCGAACCGGGGGAACUGAAACAUCUAAGUACCCCGAGGAAAAGAAAUCAACCGAGAUUCCCCCAGUAGCGGCGAGCGAACGGGGAGCAGCCCAGAGCCUGAAUCAGUGUGUGUGUUAGUGGAAGCGUCUGGAAAGGCGCGCGAUACAGGGUGACAGCCCCGUACACAAAAAUGCACAUGCUGUGAGCUCGAUGAGUAGGGCGGGACACGUGGUAUCCUGUCUGAAUAUGGGGGGACCAUCCUCCAAGGCUAAAUACUCCUGACUGACCGAUAGUGAACCAGUACCGUGAGGGAAAGGCGAAAAGAACCCCGGCGAGGGGAGUGAAAAAGAACCUGAAACCGUGUACGUACAAGCAGUGGGAGCACGCUUAGGCGUGUGACUGCGUACCUUUUGUAUAAUGGGUCAGCGACUUAUAUUCUGUAGCAAGGUUAACCGAAUAGGGGAGCCGAAGGGAAACCGAGUCUUAACUGGGCGUUAAGUUGCAGGGUAUAGACCCGAAACCCGGUGAUCUAGCCAUGGGCAGGUUGAAGGUUGGGUAACACUAACUGGAGGACCGAACCGACUAAUGUUGAAAAAUUAGCGGAUGACUUGUGGCUGGGGGUGAAAGGCCAAUCAAACCGGGAGAUAGCUGGUUCUCCCCGAAAGCUAUUUAGGUAGCGCCUCGUGAAUUCAUCUCCGGGGGUAGAGCACUGUUUCGGCAAGGGGGUCAUCCCGACUUACCAACCCGAUGCAAACUGCGAAUACCGGAGAAUGUUAUCACGGGAGACACACGGCGGGUGCUAACGUCCGUCGUGAAGAGGGAAACAACCCAGACCGCCAGCUAAGGUCCCAAAGUCAUGGUUAAGUGGGAAACGAUGUGGGAAGGCCCAGACAGCCAGGAUGUUGGCUUAGAAGCAGCCAUCAUUUAAAGAAAGCGUAAUAGCUCACUGGUCGAGUCGGCCUGCGCGGAAGAUGUAACGGGGCUAAACCAUGCACCGAAGCUGCGGCAGCGACGCUGAUGCGUUGUUGGGUAGGGGAGCGUUCUGUAAGCCUGCGAAGGUGUGCUGUGAGGCAUGCUGGAGGUAUCAGAAGUGCGAAUGCUGACAUAAGUAACGAUAAAGCGGGUGAAAAGCCCGCUCGCCGGAAGACCAAGGGUUCCUGUCCAACGUUAAUCGGGGCAGGGUGAGUCGACCCCUAAGGCGAGGCCGAAAGGCGUAGUCGAUGGGAAACAGGUUAAUAUUCCUGUACUUGGUGUUACUGCGAAGGGGGGACGGAGAAGGCUAUGUUGGCCGGGCGACGGUUGUCCCGGUUUAAGCGUGUAGGCUGGUUUUCCAGGCAAAUCCGGAAAAUCAAGGCUGAGGCGUGAUGACGAGGUACUACGGUGCUGAAGCAACAAAUGCCCUGCUUCCAGGAAAAGCCUCUAAGCAUCAGGUAACAUCAAAUCGUACCCCAAACCGACACAGGUGGUCAGGUAGAGAAUACCAAGGCGCUUGAGAGAACUCGGGUGAAGGAACUAGGCAAAAUGGUGCCGUAACUUCGGGAGAAGGCACGCUGAUAUGUAGGUGAAGUCCCUUGCGGAUGGAGCUGAAAUCAGUCGAAGAUACCAGCUGGCUGCAACUGUUUAUUAAAAACACAGCACUGUGCAAACACGAAAGUGGACGUAUACGGUGUGACGCCUGCCCGGUGCCGGAAGGUUAAUUGAUGGGGUCAGCGCAAGCGAAGCUCUUGAUCGAAGCCCCGGUAAACGGCGGCCGUAACUAUAACGGUCCUAAGGUAGCGAAAUUCCUUGUCGGGUAAGUUCCGACCUGCACGAAUGGCGUAAUGAUGGCCAGGCUGUCUCCACCCGAGACUCAGUGAAAUUGAACUCGCUGUGAAGAUGCAGUGUACCCGCGGCAAGACGGAAAGACCCCGUGAACCUUUACUAUAGCUUGACACUGAACAUUGAGCCUUGAUGUGUAGGAUAGGUGGGAGGCUUGGAAGUGUGGACGCCAGUCUGCAUGGAGCCGACCUUGAAAUACCACCCUUUAAUGUUUGAUGUUCUAACGUUGACCCGUAAUCCGGGUUGCGGACAGUGUCUGGUGGGUAGUUUGACUGGGGCGGUCUCCUCCUAAAGAGUAACGGAGGAGCACGAAGGUUGGCUAAUCCUGGUCGGACAUCAGGAGGUUAGUGCAAUGGCAUAAGCCAGCUUGACUGCGAGCGUGACGGCGCGAGCAGGUGCGAAAGCAGGUCAUAGUGAUCCGGUGGUUCUGAAUGGAAGGGCCAUCGCUCAACGGAUAAAAGGUACUCCGGGGAUAACAGGCUGAUACCGCCCAAGAGUUCAUAUCGACGGCGGUGUUUGGCACCUCGAUGUCGGCUCAUCACAUCCUGGGGCUGAAGUAGGUCCCAAGGGUAUGGCUGUUCGCCAUUUAAAGUGGUACGCGAGCUGGGUUUAGAACGUCGUGAGACAGUUCGGUCCCUAUCUGCCGUGGGCGCUGGAGAACUGAGGGGGGCUGCUCCUAGUACGAGAGGACCGGAGUGGACGCAUCACUGGUGUUCGGGUUGUCAUGCCAAUGGCACUGCCCGGUAGCUAAAUGCGGAAGAGAUAAGUGCUGAAAGCAUCUAAGCACGAAACUUGCCCCGAGAUGAGUUCUCCCUGACUCCUUGAGAGUCCUGAAGGAACGUUGAAGACGACGACGUUGAUAGGCCGGGUGUGUAAGCGCAGCGAUGCGUUGAGCUAACCGGUACUAAUGAACCGUGAGGCUUAACCUUACAACGCCGAAGGUGUUU